AUUGAACGCUGGCGGCAGGCCUAACACAUGCAAGUCGAACGGUAACAGGAAGAAGCUUGCUUCUUUGCUGACGAGUGGCGGACGGGUGAGUAAUGUCUGGGAAACUGCCUGAUGGAGGGGGAUAACUACUGGAAACGGUAGCUAAUACCGCAUAACGUCGCAAGACCAAAGAGGGGGACCUUCGGGCCUCUUGCCAUCGGAUGUGCCCAGAUGGGAUUAGCUAGUAGGUGGGGUAACGGCUCACCUAGGCGACGAUCCCUAGCUGGUCUGAGAGGAUGACCAGCCACACUGGAACGGAGACACGGUCCAGACUCCUACGGGAGGCAGCAGUGGGGAAUAUUGCACAAUGGGCGCAAGCCUGAUGCAGCCAUGCCGCGUGUAUGAAGAAGGCCUUCGGGUUGUAAAGUACUUUCAGCGGGGAGGAAGGGAGUAAAGUUAAUACCUUUGCUCAUUGACGUUACCCGCAGAAGAAGCACCGGCUAACUCCGUG
Molecule: ribosomal RNA, 490 nt
Filed under: uncultured bacterium
Lineage: Bacteria
Description: partial 16S ribosomal RNA
Rfam family: Bacterial small subunit ribosomal RNA
Source: RNAcentral